AUUAAAAGUUAAGUAUUACAAUUUUUCACACUUUU
Molecule: small RNA, 35 nt
Filed under: Arabidopsis thaliana (thale cress)
Lineage: Eukaryota; Viridiplantae; Streptophyta; Magnoliopsida; Brassicales; Brassicaceae
Description: ATSL042260
Source: RNAcentral